UACGUAGGGUGCAAGCGUUAAUCGGAAUUACUGGGCGUAAAGCGUGCGCAGGCGGUUAUGUAAGACAGAUGUGAAAUGCCCGGGCUUAACCUGGGAACUGCAUUUGUGACUGCAUGGCUAGAGUUUGGCAGAGGGGGGUAGAAUUCCACGGUGUAGCAGUGAAAUGCGUAGAUAUGUGGAGGAACACCGAUGGCGAAGGCAGCCCCCUGGGUCAAGACUGACGCUCAUGCACGAAAGCGUGGGGAGCAAACGAGG
This 255-nucleotide ribosomal RNA is filed under the name uncultured bacterium. Its description in RNAcentral is "partial 16S ribosomal RNA". It matches the Rfam family "Bacterial small subunit ribosomal RNA", at positions 524 to 777 of the family's 1533-position model. The record is from RNAcentral.